Molecule: non-coding RNA, 1883 nt
Organism: Paramuricea clavata
Lineage: Eukaryota; Metazoa; Cnidaria; Anthozoa; Malacalcyonacea; Plexauridae
Source: the annotation of a GenBank genome assembly
GGGAUUUCUUCACGGUUUGAAUUGAAAAAAAAAUUGUGUGUCUGUUUAUGGUAUUAUGAAUUACAAAAUGGAACUAGCAAUAUUGAACUGCAGGAUAAUCAGGAUUUUUCAUGGAAACAACUAGAAAUUUAGAUUUGAAUUGAAUGUGGAAGCACUGGAAUAUGUGGUAUAAUAACCAUUGAACUAUAAAUAAACUGGAAGGCUAACUGCUAUGAUGAAGGCCUAUGAUUUGAUGAAGCCAAAAUAGUUUUUCUGAGUUAUGAGCAGAAAUACUUGACCCCAAACGUCGGGCAAUAUAUCAAAUUGAAGCUAUCAAAAAUUGCUAUUCGGUGUGGAAAUUUCAAGACUUCAGCGAAAAGAAAAAUCUUUAAAAAAUACAAAAACAACUGCAAAACGGCAAAUUAUCGGUAAUUAUGUUUGUAGUUUUUUAAUAUUCCCCUUUUAGCUAAAGUCUUGAAAUUUCUACACCAAAUAGCGUUUUUCAAUAGCUUCAAUUUGAUAUAUAGCCCAACGUUCAGUGUUGAGUAUUUCUGCUCAUAACUCAGAAAAACUAAAAUGCACUGGCUUCAAUCCUCCCCCCACCUGAGUUAGCCUUCCAGUUUAUUUAUAGUUCAAUGUUCAGUCUAUAGACUCAUUGCACUGACGUCGCAAAUUCUUAGAGUGUCCUCCAGAUGCUACCUAACAAUAUCUGUUCGGGUACAACAACCACAUACAACAGCGCAAAAAUUUACCGUUUUUAAUACAAAAUUAUUGUAAUUAUUAUUCAAAAUUUGCUUUGUUUACAGAAGUAUAUAUUAUGCAUGCAUAGAUUGCUAAUUUGUCCUCCAGAUGCAUCAUCACCGGCGCUGUGACGUCAUGUGCAAUGGGUCUAUACGCAAAGUGAAGCCAAGAUAGCGUAAUGGACCUUUCCCCUUAUAACUAAAAUUUCGAUCUAGACAAAAAUUUCAUCACAACUUGAAAGAGCAUCACAAAAUUAGUAAUAUUCCAAAGUUUCGUUGCGAAAUGUUGUAAAAUGCGGAUAAUAUAGCCUUGCGAAGUUUGCCGUUUUUCAGUCAUUUUGUAUUACGCAUGGGAAAUUGACAGCCCAAUCGGGUGUUGGGGCAUCAAUUUCCCGUUUGUAAUACAAAAUGACUGAAAAUUGCAAAUUUCGCAGGGCUAUAUUAUCCGCAUUUUACAACAUUUCGCAACGAAACUUCGGAAUAUUACUAAUUUUGUGAUGCUCUUUCAAGCUGUGAUGAAAUUUUUGUCUAGAUCAAAAUUUUAGUUAUAAGGGGAAAGGUCCAUUGUUGCCUCGUCGUCUUUUCGGUUUUUUUCCCGUAUAUUUUUGUUAUUUCUUUUUUCCGUUUAUCUGCAUUUUUUAUAUGUUAUAUAUAUUAUAUCGGUGAUAAGGUAGCUCAAUAGUUUAUAAGCUUUGCUUCGUUUUGGGCUUCCUUGCCAUUCAUUUGUACUUAUAAUUUGUGAAAUUUUUUUAUAUGGCAAAAUAAAUUGUUAAUUGUUUUUUUAAAUAUGUCUGCAGGUCAUGUUGACUUGGGCUGGGAUAACCGGCAACAUAUCAAAAUUAUUGCCGGAAACUAUGCCAACUGAAAUACAUACGUGAUUCAUCACUCAUAAUGGCAUAUUCAUCACUCAUAAGAAUGGCAUAUACUACUUUAAAUUCCCAGGAGCAUAAAAUCUUGUGCUUAACAACAGCUUGAUUUCUAAAGGUGCCGCCAGUUUUUUUAUACACCCUGUAUUGCAGAUUUUCCUAGAAACCAUAAUCGAAUACUUUGAAUUGACAUUCUUGCCGAGUGAGAUGCAUCGUCAUAACUGCCAUGAAAUUAUUAGCACAUUUUGCCAGUUUGAUACUUGAAAACCAAUCAUGUUACGAGUUGUAAAUAUAGAUA